GAGUCCCUGCAGAGUUCGUGAUGCACGAUCUAACUCUUGAACCGAUGCUUUUCUUACUUCCGGGUGCUCGCGUCUUCGUGCCGCGUGCAUGCCGUCGUCCCGCGCGGGCAACCGCUCGGGAUAUGGAGACGGUAGCUGAACGGCACGGGUAGAGCGCCCACCUGUUUCGGCAGGUUCAAGUAAGAAUCCUACACACGGCUCAGGCGGGGUCCUC
RNAcentral lists this non-coding RNA (214 nucleotides) under Acidobacteriota bacterium. Its description in RNAcentral is "Acidobacteria bacterium (rhizosphere metagenome) 6S RNA". It matches the Rfam family "6S / SsrS RNA". From Rfam's summary of the family: E. coli 6S RNA was the first non coding RNA to be sequenced, but its function was unknown until recently. The record is from RNAcentral. Lineage: Bacteria; Pseudomonadati; Acidobacteriota.